This is a long non-coding RNA of Zingiber officinale, 2181 nucleotides long. RefSeq lists it as uncharacterized. The record is from RefSeq and is a predicted model, not a curated record. NCBI's taxonomy places the organism in Eukaryota, Viridiplantae, Streptophyta, Magnoliopsida, Zingiberales, Zingiberaceae. The transcript has 3 exons.
GAUACCCUUUCCCUUCUUCCUCACAUCUCCACCGCCGCCAUUACCCAUCGUCGACGCUGAGCCCACGCAACCCUGCCGCACGUCGAUGCCACUGACGCCGACCAUCCGUAUGAGAUCUGCCAACAACGCAGCAACCAUCGUCGGCAUGGAAAGUGAUGCUAUCAACCCGUGAUGCCGCCCCAUCUUUCGAUCGCACCACCUCCUUCCUGUACCGAUCAUCGUCUGUGCAGCACCACUCUUAGUCGAAGCAAGCUGCGACCGCGACCAGUACCGUAUCACCUACCUCCUGAUCUUGACGUCGUUACCACGCUGCGAUCUCGACUUCGUUGUCGCGCUGCAUUUCUGACGCCAUUAUCAGUUCUGCCGCCACACUCUUCCACAUGCACCCUUGUCCAGGCUAUCCUAGGUCAUCAGAUCAUCGAUCCACUGUCACCGGCAACCGAGCAUCGCCCGAUGCCGUCGAUUUAAUCUCUUCACUACCUCUUUCCAUCGCCAGUAGACAUGAUGCCCUACAUCUUGGUGGGCACUCACCUUUCCUCGCGUCCUUAAUCUUCGAAAAGGGAGCAAUUCGUGAGCAUCCCUCAGCUACAUUCCAACACCACAACCAUCGUCGCCUCCUUUGUUGUAGGAGACCAUUGUAGUGCUACCCCAUGUGGUGCAGAUCCCAGCUCAUCGCUGCUUGACGCCGCUGUACACCACCACCGUGAUUUCACUAUACUAGAGAGGGUGAAGGUGUUGAUUUUGGGGCAUCUAAUUUGUUGGACAAAAGCUUUAUCUAGAGCCUUAACCACUUUCUCCGGCUGUACAUCACCUCCGGUCGUAAGCCACUAGCAGCUGCCUUCUGCUAGGUCUCUAACAAAGAGAAAGCUACAGGCACAAAAUUAGGCUUAGCUCUAACUACUAUUUUCUGGUAGCAAGCCUCUCCGACCUUGAGUUUUAACAGCUGUGCAUUCAGAUUUGGGACAUUGAUUCGAGACGAGUGUCUCGACGUGAGACUACUUGACAUGAUCUACAUACAAAGGCGGGUACCUUUGACUUAUCUCUUAUGAUAUUAUCAUUCUGAUAUAUGUAAUAGGUUAUAGCUAGUAGUAAUGGUUAUGUUUAUAUGUAUUUCACUACUUGAUAUCCAUAGUAUGCCCAUAUUGUUAUCUGUUACCUCUUGAUUAUUACCAUGUGCACCUAUGUUCAUAGAAGUAAUGACAUACAAUGCAUUAUCAGGUAUAGGCCUAGCUACUAGAUAUACGUGGCAUGUGUACCUAGAAUUAUUAUUUGGUAUGUGUACCUAGAUUUAUUAUCUGGCAUAUGUACCUAGAUUUAUUAUUUGGCAUGUGUACCUAGAUUUAUUAUUUGGCAUGUGUACCUGGUUUUAUUAUCUGGCAUGUAUACUUAGAUUUAUUACCUACCAUGUAUACUUAGAUCCUUGUUACGUACUCAGUUUUCCUUUUGGUACAUAUUAUAUGGAGGUUGAUAUUUUCAAGAGUUACAUGUUUUAGUGUCAUGCACCAUUUUGCAUGAUUUCAUGCUGAUCGAUUAUCGACUCCUUUAUAGUUGAGCAUAUCGCUAGUUACAUGAUCUGCACACAUAACCACUCAUGAGUUAGUGGUACAUCAGGUAGGGUGUAUGUAGUUUGCUCUGUCAAGGUUCCACUGGUCCGCUCAUGGGUAGUGUGACUGCAGCAUGGUAGCGGGCAAGGAUUCCUGCUCUUGACAUGACACAGGGAGAUGAGAGCUUAGGCUCCCCCACUAUAUUUGGGGUAGGAGAAUAGGUAUACUCUGAUAGCAUCCUGUCCACUCGGUCACUUAGGAGUAGUGAUGGCAGAGUGCACAGUUAUCAUUGCCCUACCCACUCGACCUCAUCAUUGCGUGUGAGGUGGUUGACUGGCAUCAGGGGUGACCAUGUCAUUUUCAUCAUAUGCAUGGAUUGCAUUUAUUGCUUGUGAUUACUGCAUUUUGGUGGUUGCAUAUGAUUGACAUGCAUAUAGGAGACAUGAGAUAUUUGAUAUGACAACCCUUAUAUACGAUAGGAGGUCCCGGUGAGUACAGCUUCUUCUGUUGUUCAGUUUUGCAUUUCCUGUUAUUAUUCAAAAGACUGUACCGCAUGAUUAUUGUUGGUAGCUGUAUCUUACUAUGCAUAUCUGCUCGAUACCCGCUGAGUUCUUGAACUCACUCCGUUAAUUAGUUU